RNAcentral lists this ribosomal RNA (114 nucleotides) under Beta vulgaris subsp. vulgaris (sugar beet). The record is from RNAcentral. Lineage: Eukaryota; Viridiplantae; Streptophyta; Magnoliopsida; Caryophyllales; Amaranthaceae.
GGGUGCGAUCAUACCAACUCUAAUGCAUCGGAUCCCAUCAUAAAUCCACAGUUCAGCAUGGCGAGAGUAGUAGUAGGAUGAAUAACCUCUUGGGAAGUUCUCGUGUUGCAUUCU